RNAcentral lists this ribosomal RNA (497 nucleotides) under uncultured bacterium. RNAcentral's name for it is "partial 16S ribosomal RNA". It matches the Rfam family "Bacterial small subunit ribosomal RNA", at positions 28 to 507 of the family's 1533-position model. The record is from RNAcentral.
GAUGAACGCUGGCGGCGUGCCUAAUACAUGCAAGUCGAGCGAACAGACGAGGAGCUUGCUCCUCUGACGUUAGCGGCGGACGGGUGAGUAACACGUGGAUAACCUACCUAUAAGACUGGGAUAACUUCGGGAAACCGGAGCUAAUACCGGAUAAUAUAUUGAACCGCAUGGUUCAAUAGUGAAAGACGGUUUUGCUGUCCCUUAUAGAUGGAUCCGCGCCGCAUUAGCUAGUUGGUAAGGUAACGGCUUACCAAGGCGACGAUGCGUAGCCGACCUGAGAGGGUGAUCGGCCACACUGGAACUGAGACACGGUCCAGACUCCUACGGGAGGCAGCAGUAGGGAAUCUUCCGCAAUGGGCGAAAGCCUGACGGAGCAACGCCGCGUGAGUGAUGAAGGUCUUCGGAUCGUAAAACUCUGUUAUUAGGGAAGAACAAAUGUGUAAGUAACUAUGCACGUCUUGACGGUACCGAAUCAGAAAGCCACGGCUAACUACGUG